UCUACCCAGCAGUCUCCACAGGUGCUCCCUGCUACUCCUGACACACCUAGGUCAGCUGGGAGGCAUUUCCCCAGCGUCCUCACUUGUCCCUGUGAGCCUCCCACGGGAUGUCACAGUCAGUCCUCCGUACCCAUGGCUUCCUCAUCAGUGGAUUCGAUCAACCAUGGAUCAAAAAUAGUGGGAAGAAUAACAAUAUUAAAAACAACAAAAUUAAAAAUAACAAUUCAGAUUAGCCUUCGCCGCCUCAGAGCUGCUUCCAUGACCGGGCGCGGGACUCCAAGCCGCUUCCUGACCAGUGUCCUCCACAAUGGGCUGGGUCGCUAUGUGCAGCAGCUGCAGCGUCUCAGCUUCAGCCUCAGCCGCGACGGGCCCUCUUCCCGCGGUGCUAGGGAGUUCAUCGAACGGGAGGUGACCGACUUCGCCCGACGGAACCCCGGGGUCGUAAUGUACGUGAACCUGCGGCCCUGCUGCGUGCCCAGAGUAGUGGCCGAAUACCUUAACGGGGCUGUGCGCGAGGAGAGCAUGCACUGCAAGUCGGUCGAGGAGAUCGUGACGCUAGUGCAGAAGUUGGCAGACCAGUCUGGCCUGGAGGUGAUCCGCAUCCGAAAGCCCUUCCACACGGACAGCCCUAGCAUCCAGGGUCAGUGGCAGCCCUUCACCAACAAACCGACCACGUUUGGUGGGCUACGCCCCCGAGAGGUCCUGGAUCUUGCCUCAGCCAAGGUGCAAGCACAGUGAAGAGUUGCCCCAUCAACUCCAAACCCAGGCUUUGGACUCUUACUCCAGUAAAGGUGGUUUCUCCUCUUUGAGAUUCCAAGCUUAGGCAGACAAAUGGAACCCCCACCAAAGGGGAAGUUGACACCAGAGGUUUUGCUUGGGCUAAAGAACAGCUGCCUUUUUCUUUUCAGUGCCCACUUCUAGGGGCAGUAACCUUGUGAGUCCCCUAAUUCUUACCCAGUGGCAUCACUGAAACCUGAGCUGAGAGAGCCUUCAAGGUUUUUAUUUUAUUUUCUCAAGUCCAAAUUAGUAACAGUGAUCUCAAAACACAAUAAGGAGUCUCAAGUCUGACUUCUAAAUAAUCUUUGAUAUCUUGUUGCUACAACCAUUGAGCUAGAGAGAGUUAGCUGUUCUCUGCUGCAAGCCUGGCAUAGGGCUAUGCUCUUUACAUCUGUGUGAAUGUUUGUGUACAGAUUAGAAAACUGAGGUUAAUAAACUUACUCAAGGUCA
Microcebus murinus (gray mouse lemur) is the source of this 1227-nucleotide RNA transcript. It is a transcript of the gene named large ribosomal subunit protein mL43 pseudogene, with no coding region annotated. NCBI's taxonomy places the organism in Eukaryota, Metazoa, Chordata, Mammalia, Primates, Cheirogaleidae. The record is from RefSeq and is a predicted model, not a curated record.